AUGGACGUUAAGACGGCUUUCCUCAAUGGAGAGUCGAAGGAAGAAAUUUACAUGGAUCAGCCAGAUGGUUUUGUAGUACCUGGUCAGGAAGAAAAGGUGUGCAAGUUGUUAAAGUCUUUAUAUGGCCUUAAGCAAGCUCCUAAGGAGUGGCAUGAGAAGUUUGAAAGAACAUUAACUACUGCCGGCUUUGUAGUAAACGAUGGUGACAAGUGCGUGUACUAUCGCUAUCGUGGGGGCGAAGGAGUUAUUCUUUGUCUAUAUGUCGACGACAUAUUGAUCUUUGGAACCAAACUUGAUUUAAUCAAGGAGGUUAAGGAUUUCUUAUCUCGGUGUUUUGAGAUUACGGAUCUAGGAGUAGCUGAUGUUAUCUUAAACAUCAAGCUGUUGAGAGAUGAGAAUGGUGGGAUCACACUGCUUCAGUCUCACUAUGUGGAAAAGGUCUUGAGUCGUUUUGGGUAUAGCGAUUGCACGCCUUCUCCAACUCCAUAUGAUGCUAGUGUGUUGCUUCGAAAGAAUCGACGGAUUGCUAGAGAUCAACUGAGGUAUUCUCAGAUUAUUGGCACGCUUAUGUAUUUGGCGAGUGCCACGAGGCCUGACAUCUCCUUUGCUAUGAGCAAGCUGAGUCGGUUUGUGUCAAAACCGGGAGAUGAUCAUUGGCGUGCACUUGAGAGAGUUAUGCGCUACUUGAAGGGCACUGCGAGCUAUGGCAUUCACUACACCGGGUAUCCAAGGGUACUGGAGGGUUAUAGUGACUCGAACUGGAUAUCUAAUGCUGAUGAGAUUAAGGCCACAAGUGGUUAUGUUUUUACACUUGGUGGUGGCGCUGUUUCCUGGAAGUCUUGCAAGCAGACCAUCUUAACGAGGUCAACUAUGGAAGCAGAACUCACAGCAUUAGACACUGCCACUGUUGAAGCAGAGUGGCUUCGUGAGCUAUUGAUGGACUUACCUAUGGUUGAAAAACCAAUACCCCCUAUCCUGAUGAACUGUGAUAAUCAAACUGUGAUCGUCAAGAUAAACAGUUCUAAGGACAAUAUGAAGUCCUCAAGGCAUGUGAAGAGGAGACUAAAAUUUCUCAGGAAACUGAUGAACUCCGGAGUUAUUACAUUGGAUUAUAUCCAAACAUCGAAAAACUUGGCAGAUCCCUUCACAAAGGGUCUAUCACGUAAUGUGAUAGGUAAUGCAUCGAUGGAGAUGGGUCUGAGACCCACC
Molecule: ribosomal RNA, 1209 nt
Filed under: Triticum aestivum (bread wheat)
Lineage: Eukaryota; Viridiplantae; Streptophyta; Magnoliopsida; Poales; Poaceae
Description: partial small subunit ribosomal RNA
Source: RNAcentral